This is a long non-coding RNA of Microplitis demolitor, 601 nucleotides long. RefSeq lists it as uncharacterized. The record is from RefSeq and is a predicted model, not a curated record. The transcript is spliced from 3 exons. NCBI's taxonomy places the organism in Eukaryota, Metazoa, Arthropoda, Insecta, Hymenoptera, Braconidae.
UGACGCAUCGAAUCAUUUUUCACAAUGAUGUGACAGUAAUAAAAGUUUAUUUUUUUAUACUUACUUUUCUAUACGUUUUUGCUCUUUUCUAUUAUAUGUUCUAUUAUAAAAUAAGUUUUUACAGCGAAGUUGAAAUCCACUUAGACGUGAUGAAUGAGAAAAUUCAGUGGUACCGUAGUCCGCAACUAUAUCCAGGACAUAUGUACCAGGUGGUUAUUACGAAACGCAAUCGUUAACGACGGAAAACGUAUCGAAAUUCGAGAUGAAUUAAAUGGAUACUUUUUAAAAAAUUUCAUGUUAUAAAAUAUUUUCGUUCAUGAUACGAGAAGGAAGGCAAAACGGACCACUCCAAAAAUUCGGAAUUUGUCAGUGGACUCAAUGUAUUAUUGACCAUAAAAGACAUUCGGUGUCUUCUUCGCUAAAUUUAAAUUUUAUGUUAUUUUUCUUCGAUAAUUUUGUGCUUUCGGCUUCUGUAUUUACUAAUAGUAUUUCAAAUCUUUUUUUCUAGUUAGGUAAGAUGUAAAAAGUUUGUUAGUCAUUUUUUUUAAAUAAAAAAAAAAUUUUUUUUAUGACAACAGGAAAUUUGGGUUAACUACUUCAA